RNAcentral lists this ribosomal RNA (460 nucleotides) under uncultured bacterium. Its description in RNAcentral is "partial 16S ribosomal RNA". It matches the Rfam family "Bacterial small subunit ribosomal RNA", at positions 338 to 795 of the family's 1533-position model. The record is from RNAcentral.
CCUACGGGUGGCUGCAGUGAGGAAUAUUGGUCAAUGGACGAGAGUCUGAACCAGCCAAGUAGCGUGAAGGAUGACUGCCCUAUGGGUUGUAAACUUCUUUUAUAUGGGAGUAAAAUGUUCCACGUGUGGGAUUUUGUAUGUACCAUAUGAAUAAGGAUCGGCUAACUCCGUGCCAGCAGCCGCGGUAAUACGGAGGAUCCGAGCGUUAUCCGGAUUUAUUGGGUUUAAAGGGAGCGUAGGUGGAUUGUUAAGUCAGUUGUGAAAGUUUUCGGCUCAACCGUAAAAUUGCAGUUGAAACUGGCAGUCUUGAGUACAGUAGAGGUGAGCGGAAUUCGUGGUGUAGCGGUGAAAUGCUUAGAUAUCACGAAGAACUCCGAUUGCGAAGGCAGUUCACUGGACUGCAACUGACACUGAGGCUCGAAAGUGUGGGUAUCAAACAGGAUUAGAUACCCCAGUAGUC